AUGGAGGCCAAGAAGUUGAGGGUGGCCGCCAUUGCCGCCCUGUGCGUGCUCCUGCUCGUGCUGCCCGGUCAGGUCGCCGCCAAGUCCGAGUUCUGCGAAUGCUACGAGGACUGCUACCGUCAAUGCAGGCACCACAUCCUGCGAUUCGCCUGCGUUCCGUUCUGUUCCAACAAGUGCAGCCCCAACCAGGCCGCCGCUGCGGGCGCUGCCGGUGGUGACCGCGACCGGUGCAGGGGGGCCUGUGCCAAAGUCAAAAUCUGUGGCCAGACGAAUCCGUCCAUGUUGGAACCCAAUGUUCUUCUUCUUAUGGUUUUGCGAUUUGCAGAGGACGAAUGCGAGCGUGGCUGCCUCUAG
Molecule: ribosomal RNA, 354 nt
Filed under: Triticum aestivum (bread wheat)
Lineage: Eukaryota; Viridiplantae; Streptophyta; Magnoliopsida; Poales; Poaceae
Description: partial small subunit ribosomal RNA
Source: RNAcentral